This 253-nucleotide ribosomal RNA is filed under the name uncultured bacterium. RNAcentral describes it as "partial 16S ribosomal RNA". It matches the Rfam family "Bacterial small subunit ribosomal RNA", at positions 524 to 776 of the family's 1533-position model. The record is from RNAcentral.
CACGUAGGGCGCAAGCGUUGUCCGGAAUUAUUGGGCGUAAAGAGCUCGUAGGCGGUCUGUUGCGUCUGCUGUGAAAACUCGGGGCUUAACCCCGGGCCUGCAGUGGGUACGGGCAGACUAGAGUGCGGUAGGGGAGACUGGAAUUCCUGGUGUAGCGGUGAAAUGCGCAGAUAUCAGGAGGAACACCGGUGGCGAAGGCGGUUCUCUGGGCAUUACCUGACGCUGAGGAGCGAAAGUGUGGGGAGCGAACAGG